UCCUGCGAUGUGUGCUUUGGAUACUGU
RNAcentral lists this non-coding RNA (27 nucleotides) under Mus musculus (house mouse). The record is from RNAcentral. Lineage: Eukaryota; Metazoa; Chordata; Mammalia; Rodentia; Muridae.